GACGAACGCUGGCGGCGUGCCUAAUACAUGCAAGUCGAACGCAGAGGUGGGAGCUUGCUCUUCUGGAUGAGUUGCGAACGGGUGAGUAACACGUAGGUAACCUGCCUGGUAGCGGGGGGUAACUCUUGGAAACGAUAGCUAAUACCGCAUAACAGUAGAUGUUGCAUGACAUUCACUUAAAAGAUGCAAUUGCGCCACUACCAGAUGGACCGGCGUUGUUUUAGCUAGUUGGUGGGAUAACGGCCCACAAAGGCGCCGAUCCAUCGCAGACUUGGGAGGGGGUCCGCCCCCCCGGGACCUGGACACGGCCCCGGCCCCUUCCGGAGGCAGCAGUAGGGAAUUCUCGGCAAUUGGCGGAAGGCCGACCGGGCCACGCCGCGGUGGGGGAUAAGGUUCUCCGGUCGGUAAGCUCUGGUUUAUGGGAAGAACGAGUGGUGGAGGUGAAAGUGCACACUGUGACGGUACCUAAUCAGAAAGCGACGGCUAACUACGUG
This 494-nucleotide ribosomal RNA is filed under the name uncultured bacterium. RNAcentral describes it as "partial 16S ribosomal RNA". It matches the Rfam family "Bacterial small subunit ribosomal RNA", at positions 28 to 507 of the family's 1533-position model. The record is from RNAcentral.